Molecule: ribosomal RNA, 442 nt
Filed under: uncultured bacterium
Lineage: Bacteria
Description: bacterial SSU rRNA
Rfam family: Bacterial small subunit ribosomal RNA
Source: RNAcentral
CCUACGGGUGGCAGCAGUGGGGAAUAUUGCACAAUGGGGGAAACCCUGAUGCAGCGACGCCGCGUGAAGGAAGAAGGUUUUCGGAUCGUAAACUUCUAUCAGCAGGGAAGAAUAAAUGACAGUACCUGACUAAGAAGCCCCGGCUAACUACGUGCCAGCAGCCGCGGUAAUACGUAGGGGGCAAGCGUUAUCCGGAAUCACUGGGUGUAAAGGGUGCGUAGGCGGUAUGAUAAGUCAGAUGUGAAAACCAAGGGCUCAACCUUUGGACUGCAUUUGAAACUAUCAAACUAGAGUAUGGGAGAGGAAAGUGGAAUUCCUAGUGUAGCGGUGAAAUGCGUAGAUAUUAGGAGGAACACCAGUAGCGAAGGCGACUUUCUGGAACAUAACUGACGCUGAGGCACGAAAGCGUGGGGAGCAAACAGGAUUAGAUACCCCGGUAGUC